Octopus sinensis (East Asian common octopus) is the source of this 199-nucleotide long non-coding RNA. RefSeq lists it as uncharacterized. The record is from RefSeq and is a predicted model, not a curated record. NCBI's taxonomy places the organism in Eukaryota, Metazoa, Mollusca, Cephalopoda, Octopoda, Octopodidae. The transcript is spliced from 4 exons.
UUUUAGGUAGGUGUCUAGGCCAAUUGUGGAAAUCUUCAUUGUUAAUUCCAGUUGUAAUAGUCCACGGCCACCCACUUUUCUUGGCAGAUAAAGUCGUUCUAUAUCUGCCUUAGAGUGGUGCAUUCUUUGCAUUGUUAACAAUUUUCGUAUUUUUCUGGCAACGUAAACUUAAGUGUUUUCGCUCACAAACACACACAUC